GCUAGCAGAUGAAAAUUCCUAGUCAUUGGCCAAGCAGCAUUUGUACCUACUGAGUGAAGGAAAUGAAGCUUCCGGAAACCUGACAUCCAUGUGUGAUCCAAGAGGACAUCGAAUGUGGAAGAGGAAGACAUCAAUAGUUUCACCCAGCACUGGACUCGGCAGGCAACAGUAUUGACUUGCAUGACAAGAUGGGCUUCCUGGUGCAAUAGUAACAUGAAUGUUGUGGUGGUAACCAACCACUUUCUGACUGGAUAUAAGGCCUGUUCUACAAGAGGUUUCCUGCUCAGGUGUAGCACAAAUUCUAGUUGGUCUUAACAAUAAAAACUUAAAGACAGAUUUUGGGGCUGAAGCUGAAGAUCAGAGAAGCAAAGCAGCCACCCA
Molecule: non-coding RNA, 381 nt
Organism: Cricetulus griseus (Chinese hamster)
Lineage: Eukaryota; Metazoa; Chordata; Mammalia; Rodentia; Cricetidae
Source: RefSeq, a predicted model, not a curated record